Molecule: ribosomal RNA, 599 nt
Filed under: uncultured bacterium
Lineage: Bacteria
Description: bacterial SSU rRNA
Rfam family: Bacterial small subunit ribosomal RNA
Source: RNAcentral
UGGUAGUNCACGCCGUAAACGCUGAGUGCUAGGUGUUAGGUCCUUUCCGGGACUUAGUGCCGACGCUAACGCAUUAAGCACUCCGCCUGGGGAGUACGACCGCAAGGUUGAGACUCAAAGGAAUUGACGGGGGCCCGCACAAGCGGUGGAGCAUGUGGUUUAAUUCGAAGCAACGCGAAGAACCUUACCAGGUCUUGACAUCCCGAUGCCCGCUCUAGAGAUAGAGUUUUACUUUUUGUACAUCGGAGACAGGUGGUGCAUGGUUGUCGUCAGCUCGUGUCGUGAGAUGUUGGGUUAAGUNNNNNAACGAGCGCAACCCUUAUUGUUAGUUGCCAUCAUUAAGUUGGGCACUCUAGCGAGACUGCCGGUAAUAAACCGGAGGAAGGUGGGGAUGACGUCAAAUCAUCAUGCCCCUUAUGACCUGGGCUACACACGUGCUACAAUGGUUGGUACAACGAGUCGCAAGCCGGUGACGGCAAGCUAAUCUCUGAAAGCCAAUCUCAGUUCGGAUUGUAGGCUGCAACUCGCCUACAUGAAGUCGGAAUCGCUAGUAAUCGCGGAUCAGCACGCCGCGGUGAAUACGUUCCCGGGCCUUGUNC